GAUGAACGCUGGCGGCGUGCUUAACACAUGCAAGUCGAACGGAAAGGCCCAAGCUUGCUUGGGUGCUCGAGUGGCGAACGGGUGAGUAACACGUGGGUGAUCUGCCCUGCACUUUGGGAUAAGCCUGGGAAACUGGGUCUAAUACCGGAUAGGACCAUCGUUUAGUGUCGGUGGUGGAAAGUUUUUCGGUGUGGGAUGAGCUCGCGGCCUAUCAGCUUGUUGGUGGGGUAAUGGCCUACCAAGGCGUCGACGGGUAGCUGGCCUGAGAGGGUGUACGGCCACAUUGGGACUGAGAUACGGCCCAGACUCCUACGGGAGGCAGCAGUGGGGAAUAUUGCACAAUGGGCGCAAGCCUGAUGCAGCGACGCCGCGUGGGGGAUGACGGCCUUCGGGUUGUAAACUCCUUUCGCCAAGGACGAAGCGUUUUGUGACGGUACUUGGAGAAGAAGCACCGGCUAACUACGUG
Molecule: ribosomal RNA, 466 nt
Filed under: uncultured bacterium
Lineage: Bacteria
Description: partial 16S ribosomal RNA
Rfam family: Bacterial small subunit ribosomal RNA
Source: RNAcentral